RNAcentral lists this ribosomal RNA (207 nucleotides) under uncultured bacterium. RNAcentral describes it as "partial 16S ribosomal RNA". It matches the Rfam family "Bacterial small subunit ribosomal RNA", at positions 524 to 729 of the family's 1533-position model. The record is from RNAcentral.
UACGUACGAGGCAAGCGUUAUCCGGAAUACUGGGCGUAAGCGCGCGCAGGUGGCGAAGUAAGUGAGACGUGAAAUCUCCCGGCCUAACUGGGAGGGGUCGUUUUCAUACUGCUUGACUUGAGGACUGCAGAGGUGGGUGGAAUUCCUGGUGUAGUGGUGAAAUGCGUAGAGACUCAGGGAGGAACACCGGUGGCGAAGGCGGCCCAC